UCCCUCUCAAGGUCGCACCUGGAGAGUUUCCAGUACUCUACCAGUCUCGGCUAUGGGAGGGAAAGUCAGGCAGAGGCAUAUCCACUCCAUUCCUAGCUUGGCCAGUGGCUAGCGAGUGGAAGGCCAUCUGCUACAAGU
This 138-nucleotide small nucleolar RNA is filed under the name Ornithorhynchus anatinus (platypus). The record is from RNAcentral. Lineage: Eukaryota; Metazoa; Chordata; Mammalia; Monotremata; Ornithorhynchidae.